AGUGAACGCUGGCGGCGUGCUUAACACAUGCAAGUCGAACGAGAACGGGUUAUAGCUUGCUAUAAUUGUCAGCUAAGUGGCGCACGGGUGAGUAAUGUAUAGGUAAUAUGCCUCUUACUAAGGGAUAACAAAUGGAAACGUUUGAUAAUACCUUAUACUCAUUAUUCACAGAAGUUAAUAAGGGAAAGAUUUAUUGGUAAGAGAUUAGCCUGUAUUGUAUCAGUUAGUUGGUGGGGUAAUGGCUUACCAAGACUAUGACACAUAACUAGUUGUAGAGGAUGAUCAGUCACACUGGAACUGAGACACGGUCCAGACUCCUACGGGAGGCAGAAGUGGGGAAUAUUUCACAAUGGACGAAAGUCUGAUGCAGCAACGCCGCGUGGAGGAUGACACAUUUCGGUGCGUAAUCUCCUUUUAUAUGAGAAGAUAAUGACGGUAUUAUAUGAAUAAGCACCGGCUAACUCCGUGCCAGCCGCCGCCGUAA
RNAcentral lists this ribosomal RNA (484 nucleotides) under uncultured bacterium. Its description in RNAcentral is "partial 16S ribosomal RNA". It matches the Rfam family "Bacterial small subunit ribosomal RNA", at positions 29 to 523 of the family's 1533-position model. The record is from RNAcentral.